Molecule: ribosomal RNA, 253 nt
Filed under: uncultured bacterium
Lineage: Bacteria
Description: partial 16S ribosomal RNA
Rfam family: Bacterial small subunit ribosomal RNA
Source: RNAcentral
GACGAAGGUGGCAAGCGUUGUUCGGAUUCACUGGGCAUAAAGGGCGCGUAGGCGGUUCCGAAAGUGGCAUGUGAAAUCCCCCGGCUCAACCGGGGAAGUGCGUGCCAAACUUCGGUGCUAGAGGGCGGUAGGGGGGACUGGAACUCUCGGUGGAGCGGUGAAAUGCGUAGAUAUCUGGAGGAACACCGAUGGCGAAGGCAGCCCCCUGGGCUAACACUGACGCUCAUGCACGAAAGCGUGGGGAGCAAACAGG